This 301-nucleotide ribosomal RNA is filed under the name uncultured bacterium. RNAcentral describes it as "partial 16S ribosomal RNA". It matches the Rfam family "Bacterial small subunit ribosomal RNA", at positions 509 to 807 of the family's 1533-position model. The record is from RNAcentral.
CAGCAGCCGCGGUAAUACGGAGGAUCCAAGCGUUAUCCGGAAUCAUUGGGUUUAAAGGGUCCGUAGGCGGUCUUGUAAGUCAGUGGUGAAAGCCCAUCGCUCAACGGUGGAACGGCCAUUGAUACUGCAGGACUUGAAUUAUUGGGAAGUAACUAGAAUAUGUAGUGUAGCGGUGAAAUGCUUAGAGAUUACAUGGAAUACCAAUUGCGAAGGCAGGUUACUACCAAUUGAUUGACGCUGAUGGACGAAAGCGUGGGUAGCGAAAAGGAUUAGAUACCCCCGUAGUCCCUGUCUCUUAUAC